UUAAUAAAAAAUAAUAAUUAAGUCACAAAAGAAAGUAGAGAAAAGUUUUAAACUUCCAACUUUUAAGAAUCUGUUGUAAAUCCACAAUGACAGUUAUCAUUUUACUAGCAAUUCAAUUGGUUUUUGAAAAUUAAAAAUAACAAAAACAAAUAUAAUAUUAAUUUAUUUUUUCUUUUAGAAUCUAUAACAGUCAUGCUCUAACAUUUUAAUAUAAUUAUGAAAAUAAUUUAAUACUACACGUUUGUGGAAGCUACCACGUCAUCCUUCUAGACCUCAGUGGUCACAGGCUGGAGAAUAUCCUUGUGUAAACCAAU
RNAcentral lists this long non-coding RNA (314 nucleotides) under Brassica napus (rape). RNAcentral describes it as "long non-coding RNA (BNAP_LNC010525)". The record is from RNAcentral. Lineage: Eukaryota; Viridiplantae; Streptophyta; Magnoliopsida; Brassicales; Brassicaceae.